Molecule: ribosomal RNA, 483 nt
Filed under: uncultured bacterium
Lineage: Bacteria
Description: partial 16S ribosomal RNA
Rfam family: Bacterial small subunit ribosomal RNA
Source: RNAcentral
GACGAACGCUGGCGGCGCGCCUAACACAUGCAAGUCGAGCGGGGAUUUAAGUGUAAGUUCUUCGGAAUGGAGAUUUAAAUUCUAGCGGCGGACGGGUGAGUAACGCGUGAACAAUCUGUCCCGGACAGGGGGAUAACACUUGGAAACAGGUGCUAAUACCGCAUAAGACCACGGCCUCGCAUGGGGCUGAGGUAAAAGGAGCAAUCCGGUUCGGGGUGAGUUCGCGUCCGAUUAGCUAGUUGGUGAGGUAACGGCCCACCAAGGCGACGAUCGGUAGCCGGCCUGAGAGGGUGAACGGCCACAUUGGAACUGAGAGACGGUCCAAACUCCUACGGGAGGCAGCAGUGGGGAAUAUUGGGCAAUGGGCGAAGGCCUGACCCAGCAACGCCGCGUGAGGGAAGAAGGUUUUCGGAUUGUAAACCUCUGUCCUAUGGGACGAAGGAAGUGACGGUACCAUAGGAGGAAGCCCGGGCUAACUACGUG